GAGAAAUAAGCAUAAGUUAUAGUGUGCCUAGCUUGAAACUAGGAGGAGGGGGUUAUACCCGCCAUUUCUCG
This 71-nucleotide transfer RNA is filed under the name Crossobamon orientalis. RNAcentral's name for it is "tRNA-Ser". It matches the Rfam family "tRNA". From Rfam's summary of the family: Transfer RNA (tRNA) molecules are approximately 80 nucleotides in length. Their secondary structure includes four short double-helical elements and three loops (D, anti-codon, and T loops). The record is from RNAcentral. Lineage: Eukaryota; Metazoa; Chordata; Lepidosauria; Squamata; Gekkonidae.